Molecule: non-coding RNA, 311 nt
Organism: Arabis alpina (gray rockcress)
Lineage: Eukaryota; Viridiplantae; Streptophyta; Magnoliopsida; Brassicales; Brassicaceae
Rfam family: Plant signal recognition particle RNA
Source: Rfam
GUCGAGCUUAGUAACGUGGGCUUGUGAUCCAAGUGGAGACAAUAAAGUGAUGGAACGUUGGGUUGAUCUCAUUGGGCUGGGUUCGGGUUGUACUAUAAUUGGUUCGCCCAUUCUAAGUUGGGAGUUGAGGCAUGGGGCUUGAGCGAAGGUUCGGGUCCCUUGCCUUCUAGAGCGGAGGAGCCUGCGUGAGGCUGGUUUUACAGAGCCAGCCAGCGUCCACCUCCCUCUCUUGACGGUGGAUGGAUUACGAGCCAUGGUCUGCCGAGCCCACUACGACCUGAUAAGCCAAUUCCAAUUGGACCAUAAUUUUU